ACAAAAAGUUUAAUGAACUAGAUUUGCAUUAUUCAGUUCAAUUAAAUGUAAUUAUUUUAAAUCAACAACUCUAAAACCGAUGCCUAGUGCGCAUGCUCAAACUUCCCAGAAGUGAAGAGGCGGGAACGCGGAGAAAGUUAUAUGUGUUCAGUGAACUGCCGUUUCCCUCUGCGGAUUCUUCCACAAUACAGUAACACCACAAAGAAAGCUGCCCCCUUUUCCUGAUUGUUUGUGCCUCCUCUUUAAUACAUGUGACUUGUAUGUGGCAGUGCAAGCGUCGUUCCAUCAGGGAGAGUAGUAGAUUGACAAGGAGUUUCUGCGAAUCACCACAAAGCCUGUGCUAUCCACUUUCUUUGCCGAGCUUGACCAAUACGCGCCACACUUAAUAGAAAUCUUUCUGAGCAAAGGAGGGACACCUGGAAAGAAAAUAAGAGGUCUCAUGCUUGCCAUCUCCAAGCAUGACAACAUCCAUACCAGACGAGCAUGCAUCUUGAAGUCCUUGUGCAUCUAUCUAAACGAAGGCUAUGAGAAGUUAAUAAAGGAGUACUUGGAUACGGACAGCGAGGCAAAAAGCUGCAUGGAGCAAACUGUGAUGGGGGUGUACGUCAUCCAGAAGGAGGGGUGCUGAACCUGAAGAUGACCCAGAGGACAUUGGUGUCGUGAUUGAGGGUGUGGAGGCUCUCACUGAUUUGGGUAACAUUGCACAAGCAUGUGCUCUGUUGUUUGGACUCAUAUACUGUUUGAACCUGAGCUACCCACCAGAACUUAAAUGCACCUUUGAAGUCCUCCAGAAGAUAAUUUUAAAUCUUGAUGGAUAAAAGCUCUCUUCAAAGGCACAGUUUCUGAAAAACAAGCUUAUGGGGUGAGAGCACUUGAAAAUGACUGAUAGGUCUUGAAUGGUUCAUUGGUGCAAUGGUGAUUUCCAAUAUAUAAUGUUAACAUUUGAGUUUAUAUUUUUUUUUCUUUCAUUUAAAAAAUAUUUUUUUUUUAAGUUUUUGGAUUCUCUCUGUUGGGCAAUUCACCUUUUAUACAGCACUGCAGAUGAUUUUUGUUUGUCUUUAUAUAGAUGGCUCAAAAUGGAUCAGAAGUACUGUUCUGUUAAUUAUUUUUCAUUUAAUUUCAAGUUUGUAGUAUAGGUACUAAUUCACACAUACCAUAAUGCUGUCAUGUGUUGAAUGAAGAUAUCAUUGGAGUGCUUUAGUGCCCCCCUCUUUUUUUCCCCCUUUGUAGAACAAAGUCAACAUUUUACAGAAACUGCAUUGAGGGGUUUUCCCCAAGAAAUGUUCAUUGUUGUUUUUAGCUGCACUGUUACUAUGUUUAUGUGUCAAGGGCCUGUAAAGUUUAAGACCACUGCCACCUGUUAAGUUCACUGUAUUAUUUUAAUGUGUCAAUUUUGCUUGCUAGUAUGUUUUUAAAACACAGCAAAACUAUAUUGCUAGCUGUGGAGAACUGCAACCAAAAUUAAAAAAUAAAUACAGAAAUAUAAAAAUUGGUCAAACUAAUAAUUAUUACAAUGAGAUACACCAAACAAAUGUAGUUUUUCAUUUCAAGUAAUUAAUUGUAUUUGAAAAAAAUUGUCAUGUCAUCUAAUUUGAUAAGCCUUCUGUUUCUAUUUUAGUUUUACUUCCUAAAUUUUUUCCAAAUUCACACAAUAGUAAUUCUAUUUUGUCAAAUGUUUUAACUUGCCAAGUGGGAGUGUAUUUUUAUCUUUUAGUUUAAUUUUUUAAAAUACAGUUAAUAUAUUGAGCAAAUUUUGCAUCUGUUUUUAGUUGUGGAAGCUUUGGUUCCAACAUAUUACCUAUAUAAGUAUUCUAACGUUUUACCUUUUGAAGUGGCAUAAUGCUUGGUGUACAAAAUGGUAAGCUUUUAUAUUGUCCACUAAAUGCAGUUAAUAAAGUUAAUGUUAUCAUAAUCUGAUUGUGACUUUUUUGUAAAGUAGUGGGUUUCUAAAUGUGUAACAAAUGAAAACAAAUCUAAUUGAAAUAAUUCGAUUGAAAUGAGUGAAAUCAUCAGCCCCAUAUUGGUUUAUUAAGCAAGACUUGCAGUAAUUGCCUUGAUUAACAAAGUAGUUGUUCAAACAACAAGAUUUAAUUGUGUUUUCCAAAAGUUUUUAACCUGUGUAGAAUGAAUUAAAACACAUUUCACUCUAUAUACUUAAAUAAAUCACUUCAAACCAAUGCAAGUAUACCAUGUUGAUCCAACGUAAUCGGAUUACAUUAAACCACCAAAUGCCAAAUGUGUUGGUUUGACAUGAUCGAAAAUGGUUUAUUGUACUUGGUUGAAUUGUGUGCAAAUUGGGUGCCAUGAUUAAAUUGUGUUCAUCCAACAUCA
Molecule: long non-coding RNA, 2331 nt
Organism: Oreochromis niloticus (Nile tilapia)
Lineage: Eukaryota; Metazoa; Chordata; Actinopteri; Cichliformes; Cichlidae
Exons: 6
Source: RefSeq, a predicted model, not a curated record